Molecule: small nucleolar RNA, 88 nt
Organism: Phoenix dactylifera (date palm)
Lineage: Eukaryota; Viridiplantae; Streptophyta; Magnoliopsida; Arecales; Arecaceae
Product: small nucleolar RNA Z112
Source: RefSeq, a predicted model, not a curated record
AUCCUGAUGAGGAGGAAUGACCUCAUGAUAGGAAGUGCCGUAUGACAGUUAUUAGCUGUGUGUGAUUUUAAAUGGGUCACUGAGGGAU